Molecule: ribosomal RNA, 490 nt
Filed under: uncultured bacterium
Lineage: Bacteria
Description: partial 16S ribosomal RNA
Rfam family: Bacterial small subunit ribosomal RNA
Source: RNAcentral
GAUGAACGCUAGCGGCAGGCCUAAUACAUGCAAGUCGAACGGGAUCCAGAUCAAAGCUUGCUUUGGUCUGGUGAGAGUGGCGCACGGGUGCGUAACGCGUGAGCAACCUACCCUUGUCAGGGGGAUAGCCCGGCGAAAGUCGGAUUAAUACCGCAUGACAUCAUUGAGAGGCAUCUUUCGAUGAUCAAAGAUUUAUCGGACAAGGAUGGGCUCGCGUGACAUUAGCUCGUUGGUAAGGUAACGGCUUACCAAGGCUGCGAUGUCUAGGGGCUCUGAGAGGAGAAUCCCCCACACUGGUACUGAGACACGGACCAGACUCCUACGGGAGGCAGCAGUAAGGAAUAUUAGUCAAUGGACGGAAGUCUGAACCAGCCAUGCCGCGUGCAGGAGGACGGCCCUAUGGGUUGUAAACUGCUUUUAUACGGGAACAAACGUCGGUACGUGUACCGGUCUGAGUGUACCGUAAGAAUAAGGAUCGGCUAACUCCGUG